UUAAAAAGCUCGUAGUUGAACCUUGGGCCUGGCUGGCCGGUCCGCCUCACCGCGUGUACUGGUCCGGCCGGGCCUUUCCCUCUGUGGAACCCCAUGCCCUUCACUGGGUGUGGCGGGGAAACAGGACUUUUACUGUGAAAAAAUUAGAGUGCUCCAGGCAGGCCUAUGCUCGAAUACAUUAGCAUGGAAUAAUAGAAUAGGACGUGUGGUUCUAUUUUGUUGGUUUCUAGGACCGCCGUAAUGAUUAAUAGGGACAGUCGGGGG
This 264-nucleotide ribosomal RNA is filed under the name uncultured Ascomycota. Its description in RNAcentral is "partial 18S ribosomal RNA". It matches the Rfam family "Eukaryotic small subunit ribosomal RNA", at positions 619 to 888 of the family's 1831-position model. The record is from RNAcentral. Lineage: Eukaryota; Fungi; Ascomycota.